AGAGGGUUGAGAGAGAGGAGAGGUGAGAUGUGCUUUGGGACAGAUAGAGAGUUGAGAGACAGAAGGGGUGGGAACAUCAUGUUGAAGUGAAGUUCAGACCACAUGAAGAAGCCACACAUAGGUGUUCCAUCCAACAGCCAACAUCAGCUGGUGUACAUGUUCAGACCAAAGACCGAUUGAAACUCUAAAUCAAAAAUCCAAGUUUCUCCUAGAUCGUGUUUCCUGAGAAGCAAAUUUUGAGAUGGUUUUGAGUGAUGGAUGUCUACUUAAGAGUGCUCCUGGGAAUAACAUCUAUAAAAUCCUGGUGGAGGCAGAGAGGAGGAGACUUUGGACUGGGAGGGAGUUAAUAUACAAGUUUCCACUGAUCCUGUGAGACUGGAAUGACCCCUCAAAUUUGUCUCAAUUUGAGGCAACUUGGUCAAGCAUUAGUAUCCUACAAUUGAUAGGUUAUUGGGUGCCCAGAGAGAGAGAGAGAGAGAGAGUGAGAGCAAGAAUGAGAGUGAGACUGAAUAUGAGAUAACGAGAGAUGUAGAUAUACCUCAGGAUAUAAAAUUUAUUCAUUUUUUGUGUGAAGUGUAAGAUUUGCAUCUAGUAUCUUUAUUUUGCAUAAGGACAUCCCAUUGUUCCAUCACCAUUUGUUGAAAAGGUAUCUGUCCUCUGAAUUACCACUAUACUUUGUCAAAAAUCAGUUGACUAUAUUUGUGUGGGCCCAUUUUUGGAUGCUAUAUUUUAUCUUUGAAGAUAAUCUUUCCAAAUUUCAG
Molecule: long non-coding RNA, 761 nt
Filed under: Homo sapiens (human)
Lineage: Eukaryota; Metazoa; Chordata; Mammalia; Primates; Hominidae
Description: long non-coding RNA NONHSAT191309.1
Source: RNAcentral